CUGUGAGUUUGAUCCUGGCUCAGAGUUAACGCUAGUGGCGCGCCUUAAUACAUGCAAGUCUUUUGUAUUUAUCAUUAGAUAAUAUAUUAGGCGAACGGGUGAGGAAUAAACUAGUAUCUGCCUUUAGGUGGGGGACAAGAAUCUAAGUUUAUUUUUAAUAAAUAUGAUUUAAUACCGCAUAUUGAAAGUCUUUGGAUGCCUAGAGAUGAGCUAGUUUAAGAUUAGGUAGUUGGUUAGGUAAUGGCUAACCAAGCCAAUGAUCUUUAGUGGUUCUGAGAGGAAGUACCACCACACGGGAACUGAGACAAGGUCCUGACUCAUUAUGAGGCAGCAGUAGGGAAUUUUGGACAAUGAAGGAAACUUUGAUCCAGCGACGCCACGUGGAGGACAAACUAAAUGAAGGCUUAAGUGUUGUAAACUCCACUUUUUUGGGAAGAAAAUGACAUUACCAAAAAAAAAGUCCUGGCUAAUCUUGUGCCAGCCGCCGCGGUAAUACAAGAAGGGCAAGCGUUAUUCGGAAUGAUUUGGUCUAAAACAUCUGUAGGUGGUUUAAAAAGGUUGAUGGUAAAAAGUUUUCUCCCAAAGAAAUCCAAGCUAUCAAAACCAUUAAACUGGGAGUUAAAGAGGGGAAAAUAGAAUUCCUAGGGUACGAUUGAAAUUGGUAAAUACUAGGAGGAAUCACAGAGGCGAAGGCGAUUUUCUGGCUUUAACUGACACUGGAGGAUGAAAGCAUGGGCAGUAAUCGGGAUUAGAGACCCCAGUAAAUCCAUGCCGUAAAAGAUGUAUGUUCGUUUUCUGUCUUGCUUUUUGGAGCUUACGGGAAACUAAGCGAAGGCGUUAAACAUACUACCUGGGGAGUACGGUCGCAAGGCUGAAACUCAAAGGAAUUGACGGGAGCAUAAUACAAGUGGUGGAUGACGGGAGUUAAUUCGAUGAUACGCGCAAAACCUUACCAGUUCUAGACUGUAGUAAUAGGUUCUUUUGAACCUGUGGUUUAUAUUUUGAGAAAAAUAAUAAGCCUUGACUAAUUCAAGCGUUGCAUGGUUGUCGUCAGUUCGUGUUGUGAGAUAUUUGGUUAAGUCCUCCAACGAACGCAACCCUUAUUCUAUGUAUCUAAUUUCAUGAUGAAAACUAAACCAUAGAAGACUGCUUAGGACAACUAAGAGGAAGGAGGGGAUGAUGUGCAAAUCUUCAUGGCCUUUAUGAACUGGGCUGUACCCGUCAUACAAUGGUAAGGACAGCGAGAAGCAAUGGAGUGAUCCGGAGCAAAUCUUAGAAACCUUAUCUUAGUUUGGAUUGAAGGCUGCAACUCGCCUUCAUGAAAGUGGAAUCACUAGUAAUCGCGGAUCAGCAUGCCGCGGUGAAUCCGUUCUUAUGCUUUGUACAGACCGCCCGUCACAUUAGGAAAUUUUUGGAGACCCGAUACGUUUAAGUUUAACCUCUUAUAUCGAAAGAUGAGGAAGACAUGCAUUAGGGCCUACAAAUUGAUCGUAAUGAAGUCGUAACAAGGUAGCCGUAGAAGAAUCUGUGGCUGAAUUAAAAC
RNAcentral lists this ribosomal RNA (1543 nucleotides) under Aplanochytrium stocchinoi. RNAcentral's name for it is "Bacterial small subunit ribosomal RNA". It matches the Rfam family "Bacterial small subunit ribosomal RNA". Lineage: Eukaryota; Bigyra; Thraustochytrida; Thraustochytriidae. The record is from RNAcentral.